UGGUGACCUGGCUAUAUACCAGAUAGUGGCAGUGUUUCCCUGUUGUAUUACAGUCUUCUGAACUGACUGGUUGGGAUGUUGAUCAACCAUCUUGGGAGGUGACAACUAGAAUACAAGAUGUAGCUGUUCUUCAUCACCCGCUUAUGAAACCAACUCACCCAUUCCAAGUGGGAGAUAUCGUGCUAAUAAAGAAAUUAAAGAAAGGAAAAUUCACAGGAGACUUCACCUACGGACCACCGACUACAGUGGUAGCCGCGACCCGCACAGCAGUACUUACAGAAGAAGCACCUACUUGGAUCCACGCCACCAGAGUGAAAAUGGUAAAGGAGACACCCCAAAAGGAGGUAAUAACGGGGACAGACAGUCCUGACCUUGAAAAAGG
Molecule: long non-coding RNA, 382 nt
Organism: Bufo gargarizans (Asiatic toad)
Lineage: Eukaryota; Metazoa; Chordata; Amphibia; Anura; Bufonidae
Exons: 3
Source: RefSeq, a predicted model, not a curated record